This 3909-nucleotide unclassified non-coding RNA is filed under the name Hevea brasiliensis (rubber tree). The record is from RNAcentral. Lineage: Eukaryota; Viridiplantae; Streptophyta; Magnoliopsida; Malpighiales; Euphorbiaceae.
GAGGGAGAAAAAAAAAAAAAAAAAGAAAGGGUCACUCCUGAGGACAGGAUCUCAAUUCUCAAAGAUGAACUAUUGACAAGCAUUUUUGCAAAGCUCACUGUGCUUUUUCCAGAUGGCACUUGGUAGUGAUAAAAAUUUGCGAUUAUUAGAUGAUUUGUUUGGAUAAUGUUGUUAAAGUAAUUUCGGAGUUAAAAUAGGGAAAGAAAUAGGUGGUUUGUGUACUAUCAUGUAGGUGAGUUUAUAUGAUGAUAAAUCAAAAAAGAAAAACGUUUGGGCAUACCAUAUUGUUUUCUAAAAGAAAAUAUUGAAAUUAUGAAACUGAAUCACAAUUGAAUGAGGACUCUGAAAUGUUGAUGCAUAAAGGGCGCAAGGUUCAGGCUCAUUUUCUGAUAGUAAUUUAAUGCUAAGGCAUUAAUAAAUAGGCAAGGACAAUUUUAAAGGUUAAAUGGCCUUCAAUAACUAGGAGAAGAAAAUUUUACGGAGAUUGAAGAAUAUGUUUUUAUUUUUAUUUUUUCUUUUUCCUUUUUCAAGAAUUAUGCAUGUGACAGCAUAUUAUUUCAAGCAGUCAACAAAGGAAGGGGGAAAAAAUACUAGCAAAAUUUAUACAAAAUUCUCAUAUUGAAUGAUAUCAGGUAGACAGCAAAUAAUGAGCCAGCGUGUCAGAUAGACAACAACGAGCCAUAGGGGCAAGAAUAUCAAUUUUCCAUAUUUAUCCUACAAUUUAUCAAUAUGCCAACUUGGUGGAUCAAGGGGACAGAAAUCCAACCAAAACAACAAAUUCACUAAAAAAUGGCCAUCCAGUCUGCAUCUCCUCGUUUUUUCUCCUGUCUCCAUGAAUGCGAGGGACAUUACUGCUCUCAUGGGCAAAAAUUCAUUAUGCUCUUCAUUUAUCUGCUGCUUCAUCUUGUAAAUCGGUGCUGCCAUUAGUUUCCCACGAAUUUUGCAUGCAGCAUCAGCGUAAAGAACAUAUAGGUGAGAUGGGCUGCCAAGCAAUCUGCCACAUUUAAGGCAAUUCAUCUAAAAUGCAUGAUGUGCCUGACUUCAACUUCAGGCCUUUGCCAUAUGCAGCAAUAAGUAAGGCCUCAGCUCUUCCUGCGACCAUCAAAAACUAAAAAAGAUGGAUUUAUCCAUAAUUUUUUGGUGCUAGAGCUAGUAAUACCCAUAUGUCCCAGUAAAAUUUGUAAGUUUUGAGAAAAAUGAUUCUCAUUUAUGUAAAAGAUGCCAGCCAUACUACAGAUGAAGUUUAAAAUGGUAAUACUCAAAUGUCCCAGCAAAAUUUGCAAGUUUUUGAGAAAAUUGAUUCUCAUUUAUGUAAAGAUGCCAGCCAAACAGCUGAUGAAGUUUAAAAUGGUCUUACUGACACAGGACUGAAGCGCAGUAGCAAGGCAUAGAUGAAUUUCCUAUUGCAGUAUCACAUAAGGGAUCCACCACCAUUGGUCUUCAUCAUUUUAACUAGUUCAUUGACUAGAUGAAUUCCAGGUGCAUGAAAUUUGCAGAUUGCAUUGUUCUUAUUAAUGAGACCAGAUCUCAGGUAAAUCAUAAGUUGGAAUUACAGAGUACCCUAAAAUUUUUCAAACUAUACAGAGCUAAAAACUAAAAUGCUUGCACUGCAACUUUGGUAAUGCUAGCAAACAGAGGAAUAUUAGAGUAAAACUAGAAGGUGUUAAGUUCCACAAAGGAACCAUUUCUGUUAUAUGAGUCUAUCAUGAUGUGAGAGAGGAAUAUCAAAGACAAGUUGAGGAAAGGAGGCUAAAAUUUGUAUGAUCAUAUCCAACAUAGCCCUGAUGAUGCACUGCCUUGGAAAAGUAAGCAGAUUCAUGUGAUGGGGAAAAAAAGGAGAAACUAUAGACAUAAAAAUAUCUGAACUUAUGUGGUAAAGAAAGGAGGUAAUAUCUUGAUAGAUGGUAGAAUAUGUUGGCGCUUACUUUACUAGAUGGAAUCAUGGAGAAGAAUCCAUAUGGUUGAUCCCAAUUAGACUAGGCUUAGUCAAACUGAGUGGAUAGUUUAGAUUGCUGGCAAGCAAGCUCCAUAAUGUAAAUUCAAAAUAGGGAGGUUAGGAGGUGAUUAGUUUACCAAGCUUGGAACUUCUAAAUUCACAUGACAAUCAUGAAAUUGAGCCAAUUUUGAAACUUAGUCACAUGCAGAACUCUUAACAAAUCACAAGGGAUAAGUUGAACUAUUGAAAAUUGAAAGUUCCAUUGAAAAACAUGUGUCCAGGCCAUCCAAGAGAUACCAAUUCAAGCAGGAAGUCCAAGACCUUUUGCUCUCCAUAAUCCAUUAAAAUAAUGAUACUUUAAAGAGUUAAGGAGAAAUAAAAAUUACCAUGGUCCUUUUUCCUUGUUAAUAAAGAACUCAAUGAUGGAAAUAAUGUUGAUGCAACCCUUCGACUAUCAUCCUUUGUACGGUUGCUUCCAGAUAGUUCAUAUUCAUUCUUCCACGUUACAGAUGGUACUGGAACUACAGAGUAUCCAGAUGCCACUAACAUGCCGAUCCAUAAUCCAUAACCAAAUCCUCCACUCCACCAUCCCUGUUUCCCAUCUUUUGGAUAUGGGAUUGAUUGCUCAAUGUAUGCAGUAGUUCCUGAAAUAAGAAAAAGCACAAUUCUUGUGUAGUUUUUCAAGUAUAAUAGCUGUUGAUGACAGAAAUUAAGAGAUGCAGGUAUCAUAACCAUGUAUAAUCAAAGGUUAUAAAAUGAACACACAAAAAAUCAACUAAUGCAAACUAGAAUUGUCUGAUGGAUAGGAACAGAUGAGCAAAUUGCAAAGCCAUACAGCAUAAUCAGAAAGAAGUAAGAAACACAUAGCUUAAUUCAUACAAUAAACACAAGAAAUACAAGGUUUUAUGAUAGCAAUAGAAGCAAAAUAAGCUGAUCAACCACCGUUGUUUUGUCUUAGAUAUGCGAUUCAUUAUAACUGUAUGCACUUAGAUAAUGUCAUGGCACUGUCAUUCUCUGUCUUAUUAGUGAAGUUUCAUUCUAAAAAGACCACCAUUUCUAAUCCCACUUUAUUUUUGUUUCUCAAUGAAAUCAGCUCCACCUCUCACAUUUUGGAAGUAUCUGAGAGCCAUUGAUGAUCUCCAUAACAAUCAAGAGAUGGUGAAUUUUAGUCUUCACUCUCAAUGUGGCCACUGGCCAGAGAAAAACAAAUAGCUAGGAGAGGAACCAAUGCACCUUCAACACAGUGACAGACACAAGUAAAUGCAUAUUGAUACGCCACUCAUUGUGCGAAAAAAAUAACCAUGGACUAAUAAUAAAGCAUUUAGAAUUAAAAAUUAAAACAGUUCGAGAAUAACAAUCAUCUUGAUAAAGAUAACCAUACCAACUGGAGCAUCAAAACUACGAAGCAACUGAACAAUAGACUUAGCAUCUAAACGCUUUCGAAUUCUUUUUCCAACCAACACUUUCAAGUAAGGAGCAUCAAACACCUGAGCAGAACAACCGGACUCAUCAGUUUUCAAGAGGGCAAGAGCACCGGAAAUAUCUGGGUCGAUACCGAUGGCCCAUUCGGAACCCACAUUGCUCUGGGUGGAAUCAGCUCCACCGCAAGCAGAAAGCUCAGUUUGAUUAUCAGGAUAUGGGUAAGAAAGAGAGUCUAACCAGUCCUCCUUCAAUCGUCUUGCAGCUUCAGCUACGUUAGCCCUAACCCUGACACGGUCCCCUGAAGCACUACUAUUACUGCUGCUGCUUGUUCUCAAGGCAUGAGAUGAAGUUAAAGGAUUGGUCGUGCAAAAGGGUUUUAGGCAAGAUAGAGAGGGGAUUGAAGAGAAAUUGGGUUUGAGCCUUGAAAAGAGUGAGUUCAUGAAUUGGGGUUUUGGAGAUUGCAGGCUUUGUGUUCUGAUUUUGAGGGUUUCCAUUCCAUGCAGAGUUUGUACCGAGAGAGAAAAAAUACAGAUUUCGAACUUCAAAUUUAG